CGCCGCUGCGACGAAAUACCAAUUUAGUAAUUAGUCAACGUUUGCAUGUAUACAGCCUCACGAACAUAACGAAUAUCCCGAAGGCUGCAACGAUUAUAUUCGUAACGUAAGGUAUUAUCGUCCAGACAGUUCGUAGGUACGUAGGAAAUAAAAAGACAGCGAACCUUUACAGAUCGGUACAGAGACUCACGCGAUACAAUUUGCAUAAACUUUGUACCUACUCGUUCUAUACUAUCCGCGCCGUGGUUUACAUCGAUUCAUUGCAUGCCCUAUUAAAUCGAAUUCAAUUAUUGGACACGCCGCACUUUCUCAGAGUCAACAUUUUCGGAGCAAACUCUCUUCCGCGUUUUAAUAUCGUAAAUCAAAAAGUAUAGCUCGAUCGUAGCCAAAAAUAUUGUUUGAUGAUCAAUUUUGGAUGAUAUACGAUUCGCAUCGACGUCUCAAAGAAAAAAAAUCACUUCCUCUUACAGUUACCACACGUGCAUACGUGACUCGGAAAACUCUUCGUCCGGGAGAAGUUCUCUUUUACCGAAAUGUUACCCUAUUCCUGUACGAGGAAGUCCUUUCAGCGGAACGAAUUCCCUAAUUCUCCGUAACGAAUCGGUAGCUAUUCACAAACGGAGGAGAGAAUGGAAGUUACAGGCCGUUGACGUGUCCACCCGAAUGGAGACAAGGGUCGAACCCUACGAAGGGUGGAGCCUCGUCUCCAGCCAACCCUAAACUUGUACCGUGAUACCUCUUCGCCAGACAUGAACCUCUGGUACACUUGUUUAUUAUUAUUUCGCCUUAAAGUACUCCCUUGGGUCCCCCCGACACGCUUCCAUUUAUUCCGUCAACGAGGACGUCAGGAUACAAUGAAACCGUAAACAUUAAUAUCGGGAUUCCAGGACGAGUUUGUAGCCGAUAUUAUGUACGUUUCGUAUUAUGUAUAUCUCGACGUGAUUUUUCAACCGAAGCGAAGUGGCACUGCGAAGUGGAAAAAAUCAUCGCCGUGAAUUUCCAUUAGGAAAACAUAAAACUGAACGGGGAUAGACGUGCGUGGGUGGGGCUCGACUAAAUCAAAGACGAAGAAGUGGAAAAGGGCUUGCGUAUUUUAUUGGUCAUUCAUAAUCAUAGUGGAGAUGUCGAUUAGAACGCUUGAUAAAUCUUCGAUUUAUUGAAGUAGUAGUACUGGCUAAUUAGCGUGACCGUUGAAGAUCGAAGUGAGUGCGUUCCACAGAUAGGGUAUUCGCACGAUACGAACACGAUUUUAAUGUUGCCUAAUCGCCGUGUUGAUCCGAGGAUCGCGAAGCGGUGACGCAACGGUGUGCGGUCUACCAAUCUUAAAUUGUACUCCGGAUGAUCCAGUUUGAGAAUCACACGUACGCGUCGGAUCUCACUUUCAUCGUUUCACUUAACCGAGGAGAGUGUCUCGCUCGCGUGUAUGUAUUCGGCAUCUGGUGUCCCAUUACAUGUGUGUAUACGUGUAAAAAUGAAAAUUUUUUUUUUCGCCGUACAAUUUCCGCGGUGCGAUGUCGAAAACGAUGCGUGUAAUCUUUUGUCUCGUUAAAUCGGAUGAAGUCUUCACUCCUUCGAUGCAACGGGAUAAUUUGCCCCGAGCAAUCAUCGCUCCGUAAUCUUUUGGCGGGUGACGUUCUCGUGACCUAUACAUACUAUCCCGACGCGACGAAUGUGAUAUAAUUUUACCAAGAUAUCAUCUACAUCGGAAGACAUACAUACAUAUAUGUAUACCGUGAUGCGAGUUCAUCUUUAUUAGAAUUGACCACAGCCGAUGCCGCCUUCAAAGACAAAACCGUAAAGUGGCGGUGUGUGCUCACGGUGCAGAACUUUAGAGUGCUUUUAACCGAUGCGAUGCUGCAGACGAUCCGCCACUCUCGGAUCUGACUGCUGUCGGUGCUCUGUUGCUAUAUGUAUACCUAUUUCCAGUGGAUGUGUAUACAGUAUGUAUAGCGUUGCAUAAUUCGCACGAGAGCUAUAUAACAUCUAAUAACACGGUGCUUUGGUAAUACAAGUAACAUUUAGAUAUACCUUCUCUAAGGAGUUCUCUUCAGGUGAACGGAUGAUAUGCCCGCGCGCCUGCCACAGGCUUUUACCCAGAGCCCCGGCUCGCUUGGAACUUUUUUUUUUUUAAUUCCAUUUUUUUUUUUUUUUUACCUCACAACUGUAUCGCUUCGGCUUGCCGUGAUCCGUCUAUUGCGUCUGUUGGAGAUUUUCUGAGCGAUCUGACUUUUGCUGUUCAUUCAUUUUUUUCAGAACAUUAAAGUCGAUUUAUUCUAACAGCGAUUUUAUCAUUGUUUUAACAGGGUUAUCAACUUGUGCGGUUUUAUGAGCACGUAUGCAGCUAUAUCAUUAUACAUACGCCGCGAUAUUACCUGCACUUCACAUCAGGACGGAGGUUGGAAGAUUUGUUGGUUUUAUUAUUUUUACCGAUUUUUUAUUUUUCAUUAAUUUUUUUUCAUCCAACAUCUCGUGUCUGCUAUUACCUCAGCCAACGAAGAUCUCUUCCGUAAUCCACGGCGUUGCCCGAUCUCCUUGGGCUUCCGCGAUCUAGCGAUCUUCCAUCUGUUGUGUGUACCACAUGCACACAUAUACCUGCUAUAUAUUAUAUAGUUCGCUUAGAUUUAUCGAGAUCAGCUGCCGGUGGUUGUUGGAAUUCGUCUCACUGUGAAAUAUAAGCGAAGUUUUACUUUUACUUCGGAUAAAAUUUAUGGAUCGCAGGAAUAUACUGACAAUUAGUUUUGUGAGUGCGGAAAUGCGAAGGAGGUAAGAGGAUCGAAGGAACUUGUCAAUACGAAAUGGAGCGAAGGAAAAUCGACAAACUAAUAAGAAUGUUGAAAAAAGAAAAAAAUCUAUAACGUCCGUAACUUUUGAAUACGUUGAUAUUACGUAUGUAUAUGCCUAUGAUCGACGAUCGUAAAAAUAUAAACGCUUCGCGGUACUUGAUCUUACUUUGCACUGCUGCAUCGCUGAGUUACAGGUAUUAUGUAUUUUUAUACAUUUUUUUUCUCAUCAUCUCAGGUUUCACUAAAGUUUAACCGGCGAAGAAGUAGGGAAUCGCAUCAUUCAGAAGGCAAUGAAAUCGUUCGAUAACCGAUCGUUAAAGGGCACGGCGCUCGUCAAUCAUCGGAUAAUGCGGUUGAGUGUAAAAACAAAUGACUGGAUCAGGAUUGACAGUGAUUCUUCCUGAUCGGCAGCCAAGAGCUGUAACUACAUGGUUUGUAUGUACGCGCGUACAUACACGAGGAGGGUAGGUAUGAGAAUAUAAAACUGGUGCGCGUGGUUCUCUCGAGCGUGUUUCGGAAUAUGAAGCAACCCGUGCACCCGAUAAGUUUCACGAAUUCGAUGGCGGUCUCUCUUUCGAGAUCAAAAUCGGUAUAUAUACCCGAACGGCAGCUGAUUGAUGGACGCGCGAUCGAUGUAAAUGUCGCCCAAAAGAUAUAUAAGAUUACAAUUAACUUAAUCUCAUUUAUAUUUUAUACUUUUUACUUUUGUCAAACGUCGAAAAAGGUACUCGUACACACACAAACACACGUACGUACGAACGAUUUAUACCUCUCAACGUUUACGUAUAGCGCAGCUUCUCUCGGAUUUUUGUUUUCUCUCUCGCGGUUCUCCCAGCUGAUAAAAUUAUACGGUGUAGCUGGUUUCGACAAAAUGUUAGCUGAUUUAGGUGAAUAGAAAUGGAAAUGAAAAUAUGGAAAUUGAGACGAAGACGGAGGUGGGGAUGGAGAUAAUGUACCACGUAAAUGACGAUCGUAUAUACAAUGAGAAGGUCCCAUUUACUUGAGGUUGAGAGACUGACAAUGACGGGCUGAGAAACUUAGAGACGCACCACAAGACUAGCUCUCAGGUUCUCGUAACUUCCUAGAGCCAUUUAUCAGUCAGAUAACCUUUUAAUCCAGUCUACGAGUUUGCGUUAAAACACUGUAAUUAACUGAACAAUAUGAAACUUGGAUAAAAUUUAGCUUUUUCCAGAACAAAAAUUGGCU
Molecule: long non-coding RNA, 3989 nt
Organism: Athalia rosae (coleseed sawfly)
Lineage: Eukaryota; Metazoa; Arthropoda; Insecta; Hymenoptera; Athaliidae
Exons: 3
Source: RefSeq, a predicted model, not a curated record